This 21-nucleotide non-coding RNA is filed under the name Caenorhabditis elegans. Lineage: Eukaryota; Metazoa; Nematoda; Chromadorea; Rhabditida; Rhabditidae. The record is from RNAcentral.
UGAGCGAAUAUCAUUAUUGAU